Molecule: non-coding RNA, 46 nt
Organism: Picea glauca (white spruce)
Lineage: Eukaryota; Viridiplantae; Streptophyta; Pinopsida; Pinales; Pinaceae
Source: Rfam
AUAACGGUGUCUUUAGACACCACCUUUUCUAUCUUUGAAAUCUUAG